UACGGGGGGGGCAAGCGUUGUCCGGAAUCACUGGGCGUAAAGGGCGCGUAGGCGGCUGUGUAAGUCACUUGUGAAAUCCCGGGGCUCAACUCCGGGGCUGCAGGUGAGACUGCAUGGCUAGAGCACGGUAGAGGCAAGUGGAAUUCCCGGUGUAGCGGUGGAAUGCGUAGAUAUCGGGAAGAACACCGGUGGCGAAGGCGGCUUGCUGGGCCGUUGCUGACGCUGAUGCGCGAAAGCGUGGGGAGCAAACAGG
This 253-nucleotide ribosomal RNA is filed under the name uncultured bacterium. RNAcentral describes it as "partial 16S ribosomal RNA". It matches the Rfam family "Bacterial small subunit ribosomal RNA", at positions 524 to 776 of the family's 1533-position model. The record is from RNAcentral.